UUUAAAGCAGUGCGAGAACUAU
Molecule: non-coding RNA, 22 nt
Filed under: Arabidopsis thaliana (thale cress)
Lineage: Eukaryota; Viridiplantae; Streptophyta; Magnoliopsida; Brassicales; Brassicaceae
Source: RNAcentral